GACGAACGCUGGCGGCGUGCUUAACACAUGCAAGUCGAACGAUGAAGCCGGAGCUUGCUCUGGUGAAUUAGUGGCGAACGGGUGAGUAACACGUGAGUAACCUGCCCUUGACCCUGGGAUAACUGCGGGAAACCGUAGCUAAUACCGGAUACGACCCUCGGAGGCAUCUCCUGGGGGUGGAAAGAAUUGCGGUCCGGGAUGCACUCGCGGCCUAUCAGCUAGUUGGUGAGGUAAAGGCUCACCAAGGCGACGACGAGUAGCCGGCCUGAGAGGGUGACCGGGCACUCGGAGACUGAGACACGGCACAGACUCCUACGUGAGGCAGCAGUGGUGAAUAUUGCACAUUGGACGCAAUCCUGAUGCAUCAACGCGGCGUGAGGGAUGACGGCCUUCGGGUUGUAAACCUCUUUUAGCAGGGAAGAAGCGAAAGUGACGGUACCUGCAGAAAAGGCACCGGCUAACUACGUGCCAGCCGCCGCCGUAA
This 484-nucleotide ribosomal RNA is filed under the name uncultured bacterium. RNAcentral describes it as "partial 16S ribosomal RNA". It matches the Rfam family "Bacterial small subunit ribosomal RNA", at positions 28 to 523 of the family's 1533-position model. The record is from RNAcentral.